This 394-nucleotide ribosomal RNA is filed under the name Eutropis longicaudata (Long-tailed sun skink). RNAcentral describes it as "partial 12S ribosomal RNA". It matches the Rfam family "Bacterial small subunit ribosomal RNA", at positions 795 to 1394 of the family's 1533-position model. Lineage: Eukaryota; Metazoa; Chordata; Lepidosauria; Squamata; Scincidae. The record is from RNAcentral.
CUUAGCCCUUAACAAAAAUAGCACGAAAACCAUGCUAUUCGCCAGAGAACUACAAGUGAAAAACUUAAAACUCCAAGGACUUGGCGGUGCUCCAUAUCGCCCUAGAGGAGCCUGUCCUAUAAUCGAUACCCCACGUUAAACCCUACCAUUUUUUGCAACCUCAGCCUAUAUACCGCCGUCGUCAGCCUACCUUAUGAAAGGAAAAAAGUAGGCGAAAUAGCCCGCACUAACACGUCAGGUCAAGGUGUAGCACAUAAAAUGGCAGAGAUGGGCUACAUUUUCUGAAACAGAAAAUACGAACAGCACAUUGAAACCCGUGCUUGAAGGCGGAUUUAGCCGUAAAACAAAUAAGCUUGUUUGUUUUAAUCCCGCUCUGGAGCGCGCACACACCGCC